UAAACUAGGAUUAGAUACCCUAUUAUUCUAAAUUAUAAUAAGAUAAUGAAUUUUWNAUUAACAAAAUUGGCGGNUCUUUUACUUAUUAGAGGAAUUUGUUUUUAAUAAGGAUUUGACCCCAAUUUAUUCACUUUGAUUAAAGUUUUUAUAUCGCUGUUGUUAAAAUAUAUUUGAAUGAGAUAUUUAAAAUUUAUAAAAUAAAGUACUUCAAGUCAAGGUGAAACUAUAUUAAAGUAAAAAUGAAUUACAAUAAAAAAUUUUAUUAUGGAUUAAAAAUGUAAAUUUUUAGGAAGGUGGAUUUAAAAGUAAGAUUGAUGAAAUCUUGAAUAAGGUUCAUAAGAAUGCACAUAUUGCCCGUC
RNAcentral lists this ribosomal RNA (359 nucleotides) under Austropurcellia sp. n. 2 SLB-2016. RNAcentral describes it as "partial 12S ribosomal RNA". The record is from RNAcentral. Lineage: Eukaryota; Metazoa; Arthropoda; Arachnida; Opiliones; Pettalidae.